Non-coding RNA from Arabis alpina (gray rockcress), 108 nucleotides. NCBI's taxonomy places the organism in Eukaryota, Viridiplantae, Streptophyta, Magnoliopsida, Brassicales, Brassicaceae. The record is from Rfam.
UUAAGUAAUGUGACCUUGCUGUAAAUAUGGACAAAGAUUAAUACUUGUAGGCUUUUAGGUGGGCAUUAUAUCAGUUUUUGAUGCUCACAAAGGACCUUACAUAUAUAA